AGAACGAACGCUGGCGGCAUGCCUAACACAUGCAAGUCGAACGCUCUUGGGGCUUCGGUCUCAGGGGAGUGGCGCACGGGUGAGUAGCGCGUGGGAACCUGCCCUGUUGUGGGGGAUAACCGAGGGAAACUUCGGCUAAUACCGCAUAAGCCGGUUGUCUUGAAGGAGAUGGCCGGGAAAGAUUUAUCGCGACAGGAGGGGCCCGCGUCGGAUUAGCUAGUUGGUGGGGUAACGGCCCACCAAGGCGGUGAUCCGUAGCUGGUCUGAGAGGAUGAUCAGCCACACUGGGACUGAGACACGGCCCAGACUCCUACGGGAGGCAGCAGUGGGGAAUAUUGGACAAUGGGCGCAAGCCUGAUCCAGCAAUGCCGCGUGAGUGAUGAAGGCCUUAGGGUUGUAAAGCUCUUUCGCCCGCGACGAUGAUGACGGUAGCGGGAGAAGAAGCCCGGCUACUCGCGCCAGCAGCCGC
RNAcentral lists this ribosomal RNA (469 nucleotides) under uncultured bacterium. RNAcentral's name for it is "SSU rRNA". It matches the Rfam family "Bacterial small subunit ribosomal RNA", at positions 26 to 518 of the family's 1533-position model. The record is from RNAcentral.